Molecule: transfer RNA, 74 nt
Filed under: Caudoviricetes sp.
Lineage: Duplodnaviria; Heunggongvirae; Uroviricota; Caudoviricetes
Description: tRNA-OTHER
Rfam family: tRNA
About the family: Transfer RNA (tRNA) molecules are approximately 80 nucleotides in length. Their secondary structure includes four short double-helical elements and three loops (D, anti-codon, and T loops).
Source: RNAcentral
CGGAACAUAGCUCAGCAGCGUAGAGCAGAGGCAUUUCAGCACUCGUGUCGGCGGUUCAAGCCCAUCUGUUCCGA